GAAGCUCUAUAGAUUGAGUCUGGCGCAGUUGUUGGAUCGUCGCGUCGCGGUGCAACUGGUUGGUGGUGGUACGUACGCUACGGGAGUAGAACGGAAAAUAAUGAGCGUGGCUAUGAGCUCAUCGCCUGUAGAGGAUGAAAGACGAGGUGAUAAUAUUAAAAAGGCGAGAUAUUCAUGGUACGUUACUUUGGAGAGCGAAUCUCCGACACCCACCGAUGAAGACGAGGAGUCCGUUUAUACUGUACAAGGCAAUGAGACAGAAUUUGCACGUGACACUUCGGACACAUCGACAACCCACACUUGGAUCAGCAGUAACGAAAGCGACGCCUCCGUUAAUAUAGAAUACGAAUUAGAUUCGCAGCCGGAAAAUGAAAAUCCAUUCACAGCAAUAUCUUCAUCGUCGGAGCCUGAGAAUAAUUUGGCAGUCGAAUUUAUAACAUUCUGUGACUCUGAUGGUUUAGCCGAUGGUAGCGACGACUCAACAAGUUCCAUUGACAGUGAAAUUAAGAAAGUAGAUUUUUGGACUUGCGUAUUAUGCAAAAAUCCAAAUAACAAUCCUAUGUUUCGUUACUGUGAAAAGUGUUAUCAGCUGAGGAAGACGAAUUUUAUGGGCAACCGUCCGAGACGGAAACGUCGAGCGCAGAAGGACCAGGGCAAGACGCUCCGGACGACGGUUGAUGCCGCUUUGGCCCAGGAGCUCUGCGACAUGGACUCGGGCAUAGCGUCUAGUCAGGAUUUGGAGAGGGCGCCAUCUGACUUCCGCGGCGGCAAGCCGACGUCUUUCGAGCCGCAGAGCCGCGACCUCACCACCAUGAUAUUCGGGGCGAAUCGCCGGGGAAUAAAGACCGAGUCGACGGCUCCGACGUUAUCAGCCGUCGUCAUGGCCCAGCCGAUGGACAGAGACGAGGUCGACUCGAUAUUGCCCCCCAAGCAGUACAGUAUCCCCGGGCAUCAUCCUUACCCCUCGGACUCACAGGACGUCAACGGACUGAAUUUCACCAAAGAUAGAGCCGAGGAUAGCGAGGCGAACAUGAGCGUCCGAAUCGAGAAUUCGCAGUCGCCCCUGAACAUUCUCUCGAAGAAGCUGCAAUUGCGUAAGGAGGAGGGCGCCGACGUCGUGGAUUCGAGCGAGCAGCAGGCGCAGGGAUUGGAGGGUCUCUGCCUCAUCUGCACCGUGAGGCCGAAGAACGGCGCCUUCGUUCACGGCAAGAUAACUCACAUAUGCUGCUGCUAUCCCUGCGCCAUGAAGGUCUGGAUGACCAAUGGUGUGAUAUAGACAUGCAUGAUUAGAAAGAAAAAAGCAAGAGUAAGCUUGCGUCGAGGAGCGACGAUAGUCUAGGAAGUCACCGAUGAUGGCCCAUUAAGAUGACAAAUUAGAGCGACGUGGGACGACUUUACCGAUGGACUAGCUAUAUUAUGUCGAUGACGACUAGUCAUAUUUAUAAAUGUUUUAUAGCAAAUUUUCAUUCGUACAAUAUUUCUCAAGAAUGAACACUUCGUCGACGAAGAUCACCUAGUUGAAAGUUGCUUACUACACGCACGCGAAAUUCUCAUGGAGUUUCCUUAGCAGGAGUGAGCCUAAGCUACUAAUGAAUCUUGGAUAUAGGCUCUGACAUCUCCACUUCAUGACCCUUUCUGAGAAAAAUUUCCAUAGCACUUUGAAGGAGACAGCAAGGAUGCAGUGUACCGAAGACGUAGUAGCAAGAAAAUGUGCUGGAUUCAAGUCUACGCAGUUCACGUGCGACCUCAUUGUCGGAGACGGGAUGACACUGCCGCCAUUGUU
Ceratosolen solmsi marchali is the source of this 1783-nucleotide RNA transcript. It is a transcript of the gene named E3 ubiquitin-protein ligase Mdm2-like, with no coding region annotated. The record is from RefSeq and is a predicted model, not a curated record. NCBI's taxonomy places the organism in Eukaryota, Metazoa, Arthropoda, Insecta, Hymenoptera, Agaonidae. The transcript has 8 exons.